This 286-nucleotide ribosomal RNA is filed under the name uncultured diatom. RNAcentral's name for it is "partial 18S ribosomal RNA". It matches the Rfam family "Eukaryotic small subunit ribosomal RNA", at positions 598 to 888 of the family's 1831-position model. The record is from RNAcentral. Lineage: Eukaryota; Bacillariophyta.
CGUAUAUUAAAGUUGUUGCAGUUAAAAAGCUCGUAGUUGGAUUUGUGGCGUACGGUGUGUUCCGGGCACUUGUUGUCUGAGUAACCUGCUGUUGCCAUCCUUGGGUGGAACCUGUGUGGCAUUAGGUUGUCGUGCAGGGGAUGCCCAUCUUUUACUGUGAAAAAAUUAGAGUGUUCAAAGCAGGCUUAUGCCGUUGAAUAUAUUAGCAUGGAAUAAUGAGAUAGGACUUUUUUACUAUUUUGUUGGUCUGCGUAAAGAGGUAAUGAUUAAUAGGGACAGUUGGGGG